UGACAGAAGACUGUAAACCAGCCUUGAUGGGAAAAAAAAAAAAUCAUUUGGAAAAAAGAGAGAGAGAGAUGGAGAGAAAGGAGAGCAUGCUGGGCUGUGAGGCCCUGGGCCCAGAGGUCUCUGACAUCUGGUGACACCCACCCCCCUUCCCAAAUGGGGAUGUGAGCCUUGUGGUAAGUUUGCCUUUUUUGCUCAAGCUAGUUUGGGUUUCUGUCUUUUGCAAUCAAGUGUCCUCAUCUUCCUGGCGAGCAGCACGGAGAUGUCGGAACACGUGAUUUUCUGUCCGAGGCGCUUGCCCUCCUCAGGCUUUCCUUGGCGCAAUCUGAGGAUAGCCUGUGAGUGAUGUCCUCAGGUCACACCUUCCCCUUGGCCUUCUUGGAUUUGGGGAAACAAGGAAGAAAGGCAAGAAUCUGACAGGAGUCCAACUGCAUGCCCUGCUGUGACCGCGACAAAUGCUGCUGCUUGUCUGGCCCAUGUGAGUUUUACCUGAGCUCGCAGACCAGGACUUUUGACUUGUUAUAUCUGGUAACAGAACAUCUUAACUGUAAAUACAUUUAAUAAUGUGACUUUGGAACUGAAUCUAAGAAGUCUUGCCAGAAAAUCUGGAAUUAAACCGUCUUUGAGUCAACAAGCAGACAAGCAAACAAACUGAAGGCUCACGGAGUAUGCACAAGGCUGCAUUUGGCUGAGAGAGACAAAAACAGUCACUGGAAAGGAGGUAAACAACGGAAAGAGAGCCUGGGAGAAGGAGCGAGAGCCUACAGCUUCACUGUGAACUGUUACCUGCCUGGGUGGCUUCCUGGGAAACAGAACUUACAAGGCAGGGGUCCCUCUCCGGAAGAAGCUCUGGCUUUAUUUUGACUAUUAGCAGUGGAGAAACAUGCAUUCGACAGGCAGGCUGAGCGUCUGGAAGGUGCCGCUGGACCUUCUUGGUCACCUCCUCUGACCACUGUUGACCUCGGGCUCCUCUCUGGUGACAUGAAGAGAGUCACAGAGGCUCCCUUCCAGCUCUAAAAUGCAAUCCUUCUGCGAGCGGGAACAGAAAGGGAAGAGCAUAUGCAGUUUUCUGAUGGAAUCCCAGUAGACAUCUGCUUAGAUAAUGUGCAUCUUCAAGAAAAGGCAGAGGGGAACGGAUUGGUGUUGCUGCUUUUCUGCUCAGUUGUGGCUGACGGAGGAAAUGGCACGAAUGGGAGCCAGAGACAGUGCGACUCCUAUUAUUUUCCGUGCCUGAGUUGUCUUUGUCAUCUGUUUCUAAUUAAAAAGAAAAAAGUGUUCUCCCCAUCCCCACCCCUGGCCUUUUAUAAGGAGUUAAAUCCAAUCUAAAAAUAACAGGAGGGGGCAGGCUUAAACUGGCAGACAAGGAAACCCUGGAAAAUCAGAAGUGGAGCAUGGAAGAGUUUGAGCUGGAAGCAUGUGCGGGAACUGCCUGCGUUGGACCGGAGGAUACAGUGUGUGAGAUCAUCCCUGUGACCUCGGACUGCAUUUCAGAUUUCCGCUUCCGGCUGCCGGUAGAAAGUAGCUGAUUGCUUCUAUGGUAGGAGAGGGAGAAUUGCAGAAGUACAAGUGUUUGCUUAUGAACUGAGGGAGAAUGUAGCAUCUCUAAUAGGUACCGAGGCGAGGCGAGUCUUAGUCUGCUUCGGAGAGAAGUGGGCUGUGAACUGAAUCCAGCGAGUGGGCUGGAGAGGAGCCAGGAGGCCAACUAAGGACAGGAUCGUUUCCCCAGGGAGCUGGUGUCUGGGCAUGAGCUACCCAGGAGGAGGGUCCUGGAAGCAAGUCCUGGCUGCACAGGGAUUCCCAGCAAUUGUCUUUCCAGGAUGCCUAUGAACGUGUUUGGGAAGAGUGGCAGAGGGUCGGAAAAUAGGGCUUCCUAGAGAAGGUGCAGAGAACCUGUAGAGGGAAUUUCUGGUCCAGGUGGCUUAGAAGCAAUGCCAGCUGAAGUCAUGGGCAUCAUCAGGCUGCUGGAGAAACAAACACCCUCAAAGCUGAGUGGUCUGACACAGCACCUUCAUUUCCAGCUCCUGUUACAUGUUCCUCUCCCUGGCAGGAGGCUCUGCUCCACACAGCCAUUUACAAAGUCAGGGUAACAGAGACUCCACCGUCUUAUAGCUGCUCCAUUGAAGUAACCUGCCCCCUCGUCGCCCUGGAGGGUCCCAUGGGGUUUUCCUGUGCUUUCUUCCAGAAGGCAUACUCCCUUCUCUCCUCAGCCCAAUGGUCAGGACUAGUCAUAUGGCCAUGCCCAACUGCCAGGGGGUUUAGCCCUGAGAAGUGGUCUGCAGGCUCCAAUCAAGGAACAGGGAGGCUUCACACGGAGGGCAGCAUUGAUCACUGGGUGUGCCAGCGGGGUGACAGAUGAAAGGAGAGCUUAGCAUGAUCUCUGACAACACAAAGAGAUGGAGGGAUGGGUGAAGAUUGAAAUGUGUACUUAUAAAUACAGUACAAUAUUCCCAGAAGUUCACUGACAGGCAUCAAACUGGCCAUUUGGCAGGGGGGAUGAGUUGGUUGUGUGCUUGUGUAUUAAAAAUUUGGGAAUCCAGACUAGAAUAAUCCCUAUGGCAUUAUUUGGUGAACACUCCUGGAAACUCACAUAAUUUAAUUAAGAUGUGUUUAUUUUUCUUUUUUUGACAUAUGUAUAUAUACAUAUAUAUAUAUAUAGAGAGAGAGGUAUGUUGAUUUAUAAUAUAAAGUAUUUCUGUGUGUGUGUGUGACUGCUUACUCAGAGUAUGAAGAGUAACAAGGGGCUGUUUUUAUGGAAAACAUAUUGUUUGAUUAUUUUGAGUGAAUAUUGAUAGCAUAUCCAUAUAACACGACACAAAACACUCUGUGGACCUCUAGUUCCCCUCCCCUGAAAAAGAAAAGCAAAGGAGGACCUUAAAUAUAAGAACAGAGAUGAAUCCUUCAACUCAAUAACCCUCCAAAGAAAUCAAGUGCUGUGUGUACAACUGAGAUCCAUGAGAGUGCCCAGUGGUACGAAGAGUGUAAGCUCAUCGCAUUUACAGUUGCAUAUUUCUAGCUAGAAAUCUCUAGCAGUGUCCCAAAUAUGAUAGUAAUUUCAAUGUAGGUUACAUCAUCCUUGGAUAAAAAAUAAAGCAGUGAUUGAGACAUCCUA
Non-coding RNA from Sus scrofa (pig), 3106 nucleotides. NCBI's taxonomy places the organism in Eukaryota, Metazoa, Chordata, Mammalia, Artiodactyla, Suidae. The record is from RefSeq and is a predicted model, not a curated record.